Molecule: ribosomal RNA, 468 nt
Filed under: uncultured bacterium
Lineage: Bacteria
Description: partial 16S ribosomal RNA
Rfam family: Bacterial small subunit ribosomal RNA
Source: RNAcentral
GACGAACGCUGGCGGCGUGCUUAACACAUGCAAGUCGAACGGAAAGGCCCUGCUUUUGUGGGGUGCUCGAGUUGCGAACGGGUGAGUAACACGUGAGUAACCUGCCCUUGACUUUGGGAUAACCUCAGGAAACUUGGUCUAAUACCGGAUAGGAGCUCCUGCUUCUUGGUGGGGGUUGGAUAGUUUCGGCGGUUGGGGAUGGACUCGCGGCUUAUCAGCUUGUUGGUGGGGUAGUGGCUUACCAAGGCUUUGACGGGUAGCCGGCCUGAGAGGGUGACCGGACACAUUGGGACUGAGAUAAGGCCCAGACUAGUACGGGAGGCAGCAGUGGGGAAUAUUGCACAAUGGGCGGAAGCCUGAUGCAGCAAAGCAGCGUGGGGGAUGACAGCAUUCGGGUUGUAAACCGCUUUCGCCUGUGACGAAGCGAGAGUGACGGUAAUGGGUAAAGAAGCACCGGCUAACUACGUG